RNAcentral lists this ribosomal RNA (545 nucleotides) under Coprinopsis cf. 'longipes'. RNAcentral describes it as "partial large subunit ribosomal RNA". It matches the Rfam family "Eukaryotic large subunit ribosomal RNA", at positions 123 to 651 of the family's 3401-position model. Lineage: Eukaryota; Fungi; Basidiomycota; Agaricomycetes; Agaricales; Psathyrellaceae. The record is from RNAcentral.
GGCGGUCUUUGGCCGUCCGAGUUGUAAUCUAGAGAAGUGUUACCCGUGCUGGACCGUGUAUAAGUCUCCUGGAAUGGAGCGUCAUAGAGGGUGAGAAUCCCGUCUUUGACACGGACUACCAGUGCUUUUGUGGUGCGCUCUCAAAGAGUCGAGUUGUUUGGGAAUGCAGCUCAAAAUGGGUGGUAAAUUCCAUCUAAAGCUAAAUAUUGGCGAGAGACCGAUAGCGAACAAGUACCGUGAGGGAAAGAUGAAAAGAACUUUGGAAAGAGAGUUAAACAGUACGUGAAAUUGCUGAAAGGGAAACGCUUGAAGUCAGUCGCGUUGGCUGGAAAUCAACCUUGCUUUUGCUGGGUGUACUUUCUAGUUGACGGGCCAGCAUCAGUUUUGACCGGUGGAAAAAGUCCAAGGGAAUGUGGCAUCUUCGGAUGUGUUAUAGCCCUUGGUCGUAUACACUGAUUGGGACUGAGGAAUUCAGCACGCCGAAAGGCCGGGUCUUUGACCACGUUCGUGCUUAGGAUGCUGGCAUAAUGGCUUUAAUCGACCCG